GAAGAAGCUGAAAGUUUUUUGACACUGAAGACAAUUGGUCAUUUCAUGGGUUACGUUUUGAGUAUGAGAACUGUUAAAAUGUUCAAAAAAUAUAAAACAUCAUAUGUUUAUCUUAGAAAACAUAAUAAUGAAGAAAAACUUAAUUCUAUUGGAGAAAAUCUACAUUUAAAUAAUUUUAAUUCACAUUUUCGAGAUGAUAAAAUGUUCAUAUGCAUUUUAGAAAAGUUAAAAUCUAACUUUAGUCCACUUUGUAUUAAAAAAGGUGAAUUUAUAUCAUCUAAAAACUUAAAAUUUACCGGCUAUCAACAAUGUUAUAUAUUCGUUUUAUCAGAUUCAUUUUACGGCAGUAGCCUUGGCUACUAUUAUAAACCAGGUUUGAUUAUGACCACAUAUCAUACUUUAGAUAAAUAUGAUAAUUUUAGUAUAUUUGUUAUUUUUCCAAACGAUGAUUUUUAUUUGAUGUAUUCAGCAGAAUGUCUAGAGACUUAUCAAAAGUAUGAUUUGGCUAAAAUUAAACUACAUGGCAGCCUUGAUCCUCUGAAAGAUAUGAAAAUAACAAAAAUGUGUUCUGAAAAUGACACUGAAGACAUUAAAUAUUUUUACACACAAAAGUCAGGAAAGUUAGUAAAGAAAGAAUGCAAAAUUAUUAAGAAACCCCUUCCAUGUUUGAAGAAGAAUAUGCGAGAAAAUGAAUUGUUAAUUUCUAAAGUAGGUACUUUUGGAGACAGUGGAGGCCCUGUUUUUACAAGUACUGGUGUUUUGGGAUUAUACCAUGGGGUGUUUAAAACUAGACUAGAUUUCAAAUAUGGUCGGAUUUUAAAAAUUCAUGAAUCAUUUCUAUAAUUACAUUUAUUUUUAUUUAAAAUGUAAUUGUUUUCAAAACUUAAUUAAAAUGUGUCACUCAAGGCAUUGUAAUGUUAAAUAUGUAUCUUUAUCAAUAACAAACUUAUUUAUUAAAACAAAUGUAUGGCAAUUUUUAUUAAAAAAAUGUAAAGCACAUUUUAUAACAAAAUUUAUAGCAAAUUUUAUACAUUAAAAAAAAAAAAAAAGAUGAUAGCAAAAAAGUACCAAAAAGUACCAGUUCUAGCUUGGAUGGCGCCCUGGCCGAAACCUGCUUUAGCAAUCUCCCUCAACCCCCCACCCCCACAAAAAAGGUGAAUUUAUAUCAUCUACAAACUUAAAAUUUACUUGCUAUCAAAAUUGUUAUAUAUUAAUUGUAUCAGAUAAAGGAUGCAGCAGCAGCCUUGGUUACUAUUAUAAACCAUACCAUUUAUUGACCACAAAUCAUACAUUAGAGGAA
Long non-coding RNA from Myxocyprinus asiaticus (Chinese sucker), 1300 nucleotides. RefSeq lists it as uncharacterized. NCBI's taxonomy places the organism in Eukaryota, Metazoa, Chordata, Actinopteri, Cypriniformes, Catostomidae. The record is from RefSeq and is a predicted model, not a curated record. The transcript has 2 exons.